GAGGGUAUAGUUCAGUGGUUAGAGUGAGUGCUUAGCAUGCACGAGGUCCUGGGUUCAAUCCCCAGUACUGCCA
RNAcentral lists this transfer RNA (73 nucleotides) under Camelus bactrianus (Bactrian camel). It matches the Rfam family "tRNA". Rfam says of the family: Transfer RNA (tRNA) molecules are approximately 80 nucleotides in length. Their secondary structure includes four short double-helical elements and three loops (D, anti-codon, and T loops). Lineage: Eukaryota; Metazoa; Chordata; Mammalia; Artiodactyla; Camelidae. RNAcentral also lists the same sequence under 2 other names. The record is from Rfam by way of RNAcentral.